Molecule: long non-coding RNA, 389 nt
Filed under: Mytilus galloprovincialis (Mediterranean mussel)
Lineage: Eukaryota; Metazoa; Mollusca; Bivalvia; Mytilida; Mytilidae
Source: RNAcentral
GACGAAUGUAUUUUAAUCAAGUUUAUAACACAUCAUAAUAUAAUUUACAGGAAGAAAUACUAACAAAACAGAAUUAAAAAUACAUUUGGAGAAAUAUAUUAAACAUUUAUAAUGAAUAUGUACAAUUUAACGAAAACAGCAAGAUUCCAGGAAUGUGAUAAAUACAACAAAUAUGAUAACAGAAAAUAAGAUGGUGCAAUAGAGAAAUUUAUAUGACAUUAAAACUAAUAACAAUGAUUGAAUUGGUCAAAUUCUGAAGAAGAAGAAACAAGCAUGGCAAUACAUAGUCCACUGCCGGUUAAAAAUUUAGUGUAAUCGAACGAAUUUCUAUCUUGAUUUAUAUCUUGCCAUGGUGUAAACUACAUAAAAUAACAAACAAACCUUCAAAC